CUACGGGUGGCAGCAGUUAGGAAUAAUCUACAAUGCGCGAAAGCGUGAUAGUUUGAAUCUGAGUGCGUUUCAAUUUGGAAUGCUUUUGUGAAAUGUAAAAAGUUUCACGAAUAAGGACUGGGUAAGACGAGUGCCAGCCGCCGCGGUAAUACUCGCGGUCCAAGUCGCAGCCAUUUUUAUUGGGUCUAAAACAUCCGUAGCUUGCUAAUUAAGUUCCUUGUGAAAUCCUAUAUCUAAAAUAUAGGGCGGGCAGGGAAUACUACUUAGCUAGAGACUGGAAGACGUGAGGAGUACGUUCAAAGUAGCGGUCAAAUGUGUUAAUCUUGAGCGGACUAACAACAGCGAAGGCACCUCACGAGGACAGUUCUGACAGUAAGGGAUGAAAGCUAGGGGCGCAAAACGGAUUAGAUACCCCCGUAGUC
Molecule: ribosomal RNA, 422 nt
Filed under: uncultured archaeon
Lineage: Archaea
Description: partial 16S ribosomal RNA
Rfam family: Archaeal small subunit ribosomal RNA
Source: RNAcentral